CCCUUAGAUGUUCUGGGCCCCACGCGUGCUACACUGAGUGGAUCAGCGGGUCAGGUUGCGCGAAAGUGUUUCCUAAUCUUGAAAUCCGCUCGUGAUGGGGAUUGACGGUUGCAAUUUUCCGUCAUGAACGAGGAAUACCUUGUAAGCGCGGGUCAUCAUCCCGCGCUGAAUACGUCCCUGCCCUUUGUACACACCGCCCGUCGCUCCUACCGAUUGAGUGGUCCGGUGAGGCUUUGGGAUCUGAGCAAAGAGAGCGUUUCGCUCGUUUUGCCCGGAAAACUCAGUCGAACCUUAUCAUUUAGAGGAAGGAGAAGUCGUAACA
This 322-nucleotide ribosomal RNA is filed under the name uncultured eukaryote. RNAcentral describes it as "partial 18S ribosomal RNA". It matches the Rfam family "Eukaryotic small subunit ribosomal RNA", at positions 1470 to 1796 of the family's 1831-position model. The record is from RNAcentral.